CAGUCGCCGCGGUAACACGGAGGGGGCUAGCGUUGUUCGGAAUUACUGGGCGUAAAGCGCACGUAGGCGGCUUGGUAAGUUAGAGGUGAAAGCCCGGAGCUCAACUCCGGAAUUGCCUUUAAGACUGCCGAGCUAGCAGGUGAGAGAGGUAAGUGGAAUUCCGAGUGUAGAGGUGAAAUUCGUAGAUAUUCGGAAGAACACCAGUGGCGAAGGCGGCUUACUGGCUCAUUCUAGACGCUGAGGUGCGAAAGCGUGGGGAGCAAACAGGAUUAGAUACCCCUGUAGUCCCUGUCUCUUAUAC
RNAcentral lists this ribosomal RNA (301 nucleotides) under uncultured bacterium. Its description in RNAcentral is "partial 16S ribosomal RNA". It matches the Rfam family "Bacterial small subunit ribosomal RNA", at positions 509 to 807 of the family's 1533-position model. The record is from RNAcentral.